UCAAGUUAUUAAGGGUGCAGGGCGGAUGCCUUGGCACUAGGAGCCGAUGAAGGACGUGAUAAGCUGCGAUAAGCUUCGGGGAGUUGCACGUAAACUUUGAUCCGAAGAUUUCCGAAUGAGGAAACUCACUUAGAGUAAUGUCUAAGUAUCAUUAAGUGAAUACAUAGCUUAAUGAGGGGAACUCAGGGAACUGAAACAUCUAAGUACCUGAAGGAAGAGAAAGAAAUUCGAUUCCGUAAGUAGCGGCGAGCGAACGCGGAUUAGCCCAAACCAAUAAAGUUUUCUUUAUUGGGGUUGCGGACAUAUCAUAACGAAGAGGUAUCGUAAUUGAAGAGGUUUGGAAAGACCCACCACAGAAGGUAAUAGUCCUGUAUGUUAAACGAGAAGACUUUAGAUAUGAUCCAGAGUACCACGGGACACGUGAAACCCUGUGGGAAGCAGGAGGGACCACCCUCCAAGGCUAAAUACUACCUAGUGACCGAUAGCGUAUAGUACCGUGAGGGAAAGGUGAAAAGAACCCCGGGAGGGGAGUGAAAUAGAACCUGAAACCCUGCACUUACAAGCUGUGGAAGCACAUUUCUUGUGUGACCGCGUACUUUUUGUAGAACGGGCCAACGAGUUACGUUAAGUAGCAAGGUUAAGCACUUAAGGUGCGGAGCCGUAGCGAAAGCGAGUUUUAACUGAGCGUUCAGUUACUUGACGUAGACCCGAAACCGGGCGACCUACCCAUGAGCAGGAUGAAGCGAAAGUAAAAUUUCGUGGAGGUCCGAACCCACGAGCGUUGAAAAGCUCGGGGAUGACUUGUGGGUAGCGGUGAAAUUCCAAUCGAGCCCGGAGAUAGCUGGUUCUCCCCGAAAUAGCUUUAGGGCUAGCCUCAAGGUGAGAGAUACGGAGGUAGAGCACUGAAUGUCCUAGGGGGUAUUGCACCUACCGAAGACUAUCAAACUCCGAAUGCCGUCAUCUUAUACUUGGGAGUCAGACUGUGGGUGAUAAGAUUCAUAGUCGAAAGGGCAACAGCCCAGAUCGUCAGCUAAGGUCCCUAAAUGUAAGUUAAGUGGUAAAGGAUGUGGGAUUGCACAGACAACCAGGAUGUUGGCUUAGAAGCAGCCACUCAUUCAAAGAGUGCGUAAUAGCUCACUGGUCGAGUGAUCCUGCGCCGAAGAUUUCCGGGGCUAAAACUUACUACCGAAGCUACGGCAUCAGUAAUGAUGGGUAGGGGAGCUUCCCAUACGGGUUGAAGCAUGACCGUAAGGACAUGUGGACAGUAUGGGAGUGAGAAUGUUGGCAUGAGUAGCGAGAUGUGGGUGAGAAUCCCACAGGCCGUAAACCCAAGGUUUCCAGGGGAAGGUUCGUCCGCCCUGGGUUAGUCGGGACCUAAGCUGAGGCCGAAAGGCGUAGGUGAUGGACAACAGGUUGAUAUUCCUGUACUACCGAUAACCAUUUGAGAGAAGGGAUGACACAGUAGGAUAAGCUAAGCACACUGUUGGUUAUGUGUGCCCAAGCAUUGAGGCAGUCAAAGUAGGCAAAUCCGCUUUGAUAAUGCUGGGAUGUGAUGGGGAGCGAAAUUUAGUAGCGAAGUAGCUGAUUUCACACUGUCAAGAAAAGUCUCUAUCGAGGUUAAAGGUACCCGUACCGCAAACCGACACAGGUGGGUGAGGAGAGUAUCCUAAGGCCAGCGAGAGAACUGUUGUUAAGGAACUCGGCAAAAUGACCCCGUAACUUAGGGAUAAGGGGUGCCACCAUCAGGUGGCCGCAGAGAAUAGGCCCAAGCGACUGUUUACCAAAAACAUAGGUUUCUGCUAAGUCGCAAGACGAUGUAUAGGAGCUGACGCCUGCCCGGUGCUGGAAGGUUAAGGGGAUCUGUUAGAGCAAUCGAAGCAGUGAACUUAAGCCCCAGUAAACGGCGGCCGUAACUAUAACGGUCCUAAGGUAGCGAAAUUCCUUGUCGGGUAAGUUCCGACCCGCACGAAAGGCGUAACGAUUUGGGCACUGUCUCAACAACAGACUCGGUGAAAUUGUAAUUCCGGUGAAGAUGCCGGAUACCUGCGACAGGACGGAAAGACCCCAUGGAGCUUUACUGUAGCUUGACAUUGGGUCUUGGUACUACAUGUACAGGAUAGGUGGGAGGCUUUGAAACCAGGACGCCAGUUUUGGCGGAGCCAUCCUUGGGAUACCACCCUUGUAGUACUGGGACUCUAACCAUAGGCCAUGAAUCUGGUCUUGGGACACUGUCAGGUGGGCAGUUUGACUGGGGCGGUCGCCUCCCAAAAGGUAACGGAGGCGCUCAAAGGUUCUCUCAGUACGGUCGGAAAUCGUACGUAGAGUGUAAAGGCAAAAGAGAGCUUGAUUGCAAGACAUACAGGUCGAGCAAGGAUGAAAAUCGGACUUAGUGAUCCGGUGGUUCUGCGUGGAAGGGCCAUCGCUCAACGGAUAAAAGCUACCCUGGGGAUAACAGGCUUAUCUCCCCCAAGAGUCCACAUCGACGGGGAGGUUUGGCACCUCGAUGUCGGCUCAUCACAUCCUGGGGCUGUAGUAGGUCCCAAGGGUUGGGCUGUUCGCCCAUUAAAGUGGUACGCGAGCUGGGUUCAGAACGUCGUGAGACAGUUCGGUCCCUAUCCGUCGCAGGCGUAGGAAAUUUGAGAAGACCUGUCCUUAGUACGAGAGGACCGGAUGGACGUACCUCUGGUGUACCAGUUGUC
RNAcentral lists this ribosomal RNA (2699 nucleotides) under Clostridioides difficile. Its description in RNAcentral is "bacterial LSU rRNA". It matches the Rfam family "Bacterial large subunit ribosomal RNA". The record is from RNAcentral. Lineage: Bacteria; Bacillati; Bacillota; Clostridia; Peptostreptococcales; Peptostreptococcaceae.